AACGAACGCUGGCGGCGCGUUUUAAGCAUGCAAGUCGAGCGGCAAGGGCCUUCGGGCCCCUAGAGCGGCGGACGGGUGAGUAACACGUGGACAAUCUGCCCCCCGGCCGGGGAUAGCCCAGGGAAACCUGGAUUAAUACCGGAUGAGACGGGACCCGCGAAGGCGGGAUCCGGGAAAGGCGCUACGGCGCCGCCGGGGGAUGAGUCUGCGUCCCAUUAGCUAGACGGCGGGGUAACGGCCCACCGUGGCGACGAUGGGUAGCCGGCCUGAGAGGGUGGACGGCCACAUUGGAACUGAGACACGGUCCAGACUCCUACGGGAGGCAGCAGCUAAGAAUCUUCCGCAAUGGGCGAAAGCCUGACGGAGCGACGCCGCGUGAACGAAGAAGGCCGUGAGGUUGUAAAGUUCUUUUCGGGAGGGGGAACAACCGUGGCAGGGAAUGGCCGCGGGAUGACGUGAAUCCCGGAAUAAGCCCCGGCUAACUACGUGCCAGCAGCCGCGGUAACACGUAGGGGGCGAGCGUUGUUCGGAAUCAUUGGGCGUAAAGGGCGUGCAGGCGGUCCUGCAAGUCCGGCGUGAAAGACCCCGGCCCAACCGGGGGGACGCGCUGGAAACUGCGGGGCUUGAGUACAGGAGGGGAUGCCGGAAUUCCAGGUGUAGGGGUGAAAUCUGUAGAUAUCUGGAAGAACACCAAUGGCGAAGGCAGGCAUCUGGCCAUGUACUGACGCUGAGACGCGAAGGUGCGGGGAGCAAACA
Molecule: ribosomal RNA, 756 nt
Filed under: uncultured bacterium
Lineage: Bacteria
Description: bacterial SSU rRNA
Rfam family: Bacterial small subunit ribosomal RNA
Source: RNAcentral